RNAcentral lists this ribosomal RNA (253 nucleotides) under uncultured bacterium. RNAcentral's name for it is "partial 16S ribosomal RNA". It matches the Rfam family "Bacterial small subunit ribosomal RNA", at positions 524 to 776 of the family's 1533-position model. The record is from RNAcentral.
UACGUAGGGUGCGAGCGUUAAUCGGAAUUACUGGGCGUAAAGCGCGCGUAGGCGGCUUUGCAAGUCGGGUGUGAAAUCCCCAGGCUUAACCUGGGAACUGCAUUCGAGACUGCAUUGCUAGAGUAUGGGAGAGGGAAGUGGAAUUUCCGGCGUAGCGGUGAAAUGCGCAGAUAUCGGGAGGAACACCGGUGGCGAAGGCGGUUCUCUGGGCCUGUACUGACGCUGAGGAGCGAAAGCGUGGGGAGCGAACAGG